This is a long non-coding RNA of Lemur catta (Ring-tailed lemur), 253 nucleotides long. RefSeq lists it as uncharacterized. The record is from RefSeq and is a predicted model, not a curated record. NCBI's taxonomy places the organism in Eukaryota, Metazoa, Chordata, Mammalia, Primates, Lemuridae. The transcript is spliced from 3 exons.
UGGUGAUAGACUUGUAUAUGAAUUUAAAAUUUACAUUAAAAAUGUUCUCAUGAAUGUAUCUGUGAAUAACGUUUUAGACAAGAUGUCUGCAUUGGGACCUGGACAAAAUGAAGAUGCAGGAUCACCUCGGGAUUUGGAGAGUAUCUCCCUGAAUUUUCCACAGAAUCAUGGUGGUGAUUUAUGUGGGUCUGAAGUUAACAAACAAAAAAAUACAGCCAAUGGACAAGUAGAAGCAGAAGAAGACCUAGAAGUG